Molecule: ribosomal RNA, 253 nt
Filed under: uncultured bacterium
Lineage: Bacteria
Description: partial 16S ribosomal RNA
Rfam family: Bacterial small subunit ribosomal RNA
Source: RNAcentral
UACGUAGGGUGCGAGCGUUGUCCGGAUUUAUUGGGCGUAAAGAGCUCGUAGGCGGUUUGUCGCGUCUGCUGUGAAAACUCGGGGCUUAACCCCGGGCCUGCAGUGGGUACGGGCAGACUAGAGUGCGGUAGGGGAGACUGGAAUUCCUGGUGUAGCGGUGAAAUGCGCAGAUAUCAGGAGGAACACCGGUGGCGAAGGCGGGUCUCUGGGCCGUAACUGACGCUGAGGAGCGAAAGCGUGGGGAGCGAACAGG